Molecule: ribosomal RNA, 364 nt
Filed under: uncultured Anoxybacillus sp.
Lineage: Bacteria; Bacillati; Bacillota; Bacilli; Caryophanales; Anoxybacillaceae
Description: bacterial SSU rRNA
Rfam family: Bacterial small subunit ribosomal RNA
Source: RNAcentral
UUCGGGGGGACAGGGUGACAGGUGGUGCAUGGUUGUCGUCAGCUCGUGUCGUGAGAUGUUGGGUUAAGUCCCGCAACGAGCGCAACCCUCGACCUUAGUUGCCAGCAUUCAGUUGGGCACUCUAAGGUGACUGCCGGCUAAAAGUCGGAGGAAGGUGGGGAUGACGUCAAAUCAUCAUGCCCCUUAUGACCUGGGCUACACACGUGCUACAAUGGGCGGUACAAAGGGUCGCGAACCCGCGAGGGGGAGCCAAUCCCAAAAAGCCGCUCUCAGUUCGGAUUGCAGGCUGCAACUCGCCUGCAUGAAGCCGGAAUCGCUAGUAAUCGCGGAUCAGCAUGCCGCGGUGAAUACGUUCCCGGGCCUU